CAAAAAGACCGGCGCGUUUAAAGUCUCAAGNACUGUNGGCCGGUUGCGUUUUAAAGAUCUCAACACUGGCCGGUCGUUUGACAUGCCUAAUACAUGCAGUCGACGACAGAAGACUUGCUCCUGACUCGGGGACGGUGAGUACACUGGGCACUACUUAUAUGUGGGAUAACCCGGACGGGCUUCCGAAUAAUCUAUUUNACUAUCAUGGUAAAAUACUUGAAAAGACGGUUUCGAGCUGUCGCUAUAAGAUAGGGCCCGUCAGGCGUCAUUAGUCUAGUUAGAGUAGAUGGUAACGGCUCAACCAAGGCGACGAUUGCGUAGCCAGUCCUGAGANGGUAGAUCUGGCNCACACUGNGAACUUGAGCACAACGGCCCAGGACUCCUAAACGAGGAGAGGCAGGCAGAUAAGAGGACAUNCUNGAGCCACAAAAAGGGCGAAAGCCUAGCAUGGNAGCAACGACCGACGGUAGAGUAGAAGAAAGGUUNUACGGCAUCGAAAAAACUCAUAGGUAUAGGAACAACGGGGGGACACGGAAACAGAGAACCAAAGGAAGGUAAAAACCAAGAGCGAUAGAUAACCCAUAUGNACUGGGAAAACACCAUNUAAUAUACGGAAAAAGCCCAACCAGGGGCUAAACAUAACCCGGAUGCCCAAAAGACACAGACACCGCCGGAGAAAGAUUACCGGUAGGGUAGGGCCAAACACCGAGUUAGGUCCCGGGACACAACAUAAAAAUAGGAGCCGAAAACA
RNAcentral lists this ribosomal RNA (751 nucleotides) under uncultured bacterium. RNAcentral describes it as "partial 16S ribosomal RNA". The record is from RNAcentral.